UAUUUAUUAGUUUAAAAAAAAAUAUUUUAUUGCAAAUAAAAAGAUGAAUAACAUAAGUAU
Molecule: transfer RNA, 60 nt
Filed under: Paratomella rubra
Lineage: Eukaryota; Metazoa; Xenacoelomorpha; Acoela; Paratomellidae
Description: tRNA-Cys
Source: RNAcentral